RNAcentral lists this ribosomal RNA (253 nucleotides) under uncultured bacterium. RNAcentral's name for it is "partial 16S ribosomal RNA". It matches the Rfam family "Bacterial small subunit ribosomal RNA", at positions 524 to 776 of the family's 1533-position model. The record is from RNAcentral.
UACAGAGGUCUCGAGCGUUGUUCGGAUUUAUUGGGCGUAAAGGGUGCGUAGGCGGUAUGGCAAGUCAAGUGUGAAAUCUCGGAGCUCAACUUCGAAACUGCACUUGAUACUACUAUGCUAGAGGGUUGUAGAGGAGACCGGAAUUCACGGUGUAGCAGUGAAAUGCGUAGAUAUCGUGAGGAAGACCAGUUGCGAAAGCGGGUCUCUGGGCAAUUCCUGACGCUGAGGAGCGAAAGCGUGGGGAGCGAACAGG